ACUUCUGUAAACAACAGAUGUGCCGUGGGAUACAAUUAGCCAAACAAGGGAGGAAGAGAUGCACGCGCAGGUCUGUCUACGCUAUCGGCUGUUGUACAAACAUCAGCUAUGGCAAGUUAAAUUGCGGCUAUGGAGUGUAAAGAACUAAAUAUUUUUACAGCACGUGUGCCGCCGUGCUGUACCUUUGUCGCCUGUAACUGUACGUGCUUGAUCACUCAUAAUGCAUCGUGUUCAAGUAUUUGUAUUUGAAACAAAACUAGAAGUAUUAUGGCACACAGAUUGUCAUGAAGGCCACGCGUAUGUUGGUUUCACUUUAGUUUUAAUCAGUCAACUGUGCGCACAAUCGUACGAAAUAAGGACUCUUACCAUGGGCGUAUAUAAGGGGAGGGUUCAGGGAGUCCGGAACCCCCCCCCCCCCCUUAGCAUAAGACAUAAUUAAAAUUAGCAGAAUAUUGAUGACGAAUAAUAUAAUCUGUGCGCCACAAAAUAUUAGCACGCAUCACAACAAUGAACUACCUGUAAAUGCUACGUGGACACUGCGCCAUCCACAUCCCCCCUCCCGACUUCUGCGCACCAUUCAUACUGCGCAUGCGCAGCACCCGCCUCCCACGCGACGCGCUUACUGCGCAUGCGCACAACAGUCGAGUCUCGCGACCUUGAUAGAACCACGCGCUUUCGCCAGCCAACAUGUUUUUUCAAGCCAUAUUUUGUUACUAUUAAAUGUCUACUCUUGAAUAAAAUUUUAUUAUGAAACGGUCAUCAAACCAAGUAUCACUUAUAGAUUUUUUUUGCAAGAAGAAGUAGAUGGAGCGGACGCGGGCCCGUCCACAAGCAUUAACAAUGAAGCAAAGAAUGAUGAUGUCCUGAAACUUCAUAAAGUUACCCAUAUUGAGGUGAAGGAAACAAUCUGCCUGUGGCUGCAACAGAGCAAAAAAAGAGUAAUGAUGAGGAAACAGAAACCAGCAACAAGGACCAGCUGAAAAUGAUCCAGGCCACUAAAAUUAUAUAUGAUACUAUAGUAGAUUGCUUAUUGUAUAAAUUAUAAUAUUAAUAAAUUUUUAGUAACU
This is a long non-coding RNA of Bacillus rossius redtenbacheri, 1067 nucleotides long. RefSeq lists it as uncharacterized. Lineage: Eukaryota; Metazoa; Arthropoda; Insecta; Phasmatodea; Bacillidae. The record is from RefSeq and is a predicted model, not a curated record. The transcript is spliced from 3 exons.